This 73-nucleotide ribozyme is filed under the name unclassified sequences. Its description in RNAcentral is "HDV ribozyme from F. prausnitzii". It matches the Rfam family "HDV ribozyme from F. prausnitzii". The record is from RNAcentral.
ACUGCUCUAAUAGUCACACACCUCUACGCGGUGAGCAGCAGGCAACAAUCUUAUGAUUGGCUGAGAUGUGAAG